RNAcentral lists this ribosomal RNA (478 nucleotides) under uncultured bacterium. RNAcentral's name for it is "partial 16S ribosomal RNA". It matches the Rfam family "Bacterial small subunit ribosomal RNA", at positions 28 to 507 of the family's 1533-position model. The record is from RNAcentral.
GAUGAACGCUAGCGGCAGGCCUAACACAUGCAAGUCGAGGGAGAAGCCCUUUCGGGGGCAGAAACCGGCGCACGGGUGCGUAACGCGUAUGCAACCUACCUUUCACAGGGGGAUAGCCCGAAGAAAUUUGGAUUAAUACCCCAUAAUAUUAUUGGAUGGCAUCAUUUGAUAAUUAAAACUGCGGUGGUGAAAGAUGGGCAUGCGUCCUACUAGCUAGUUGGAGUGGUAACGGCACCCCAAGGCUACGAUAGGUAGGGGUCCUGAGAGGGAGAUCCCCCACACUGGUACUGAGACAGGGACCAGACUCCUACGGGAGGCAGCAGUGAGGAAUAUUGGUCAAUGGUCGGAAGACUGAACCAGCCAUGCCGCGUGCAGGAAGAAUGCCUUAUGGGUGGUAAACUGCUUUUAUAUGGGAAGAAUAAGGUGUACGUGUACAUUGAUGACGGUACCAUAUGAAUAAGCAUCGGCUAACUCCGUG